UACGGGAGGCAGCAGUGGGGAAUAUUGCACAAUGGGCGAAAGCCUGAUGCAGCUAUGCCGCGUGUAUGAAGAAGGCCUUAGGGUUGUAAAGUACUUUCAUCGGGGAGGAAAAAACAAAACUAAUAAUUUUAUUUCUUGACGUUACCCGAAAAAGAAGCACCGGCUAACUCCGUGCCAGCAGCCGCGGUAAUACGGAGGGUGCUAGCGUUAAUCAGAAUUACUGGGCGUAAAGAGCACGUAGGUGGUUUUUUUAAGUCAGAUGUGAAAUCCUUGGGCUUAACCUAGGAACUGCAUUUUGAAACUGAAAUACUAGAGUAUCGUAGAGGGAGGUAGAAUUCUAGGUGUAGCGGUGAAAUGCGUAGAUAUCUGGAGGAAUACCUGUGGCGAAAGCGGCCUCCUAAACGAAUACUGACACUGAGGUGCGAAAGCGUGGGGAGCAAACAGGGAUUAGAUACC
This 456-nucleotide ribosomal RNA is filed under the name uncultured bacterium. Its description in RNAcentral is "bacterial SSU rRNA". It matches the Rfam family "Bacterial small subunit ribosomal RNA", at positions 340 to 786 of the family's 1533-position model. The record is from RNAcentral.